Molecule: ribosomal RNA, 492 nt
Filed under: uncultured bacterium
Lineage: Bacteria
Description: partial 16S ribosomal RNA
Rfam family: Bacterial small subunit ribosomal RNA
Source: RNAcentral
AGUGAACGCUGGCGGUAGGCCUAACACAUGCAAGUCGAACGGCAGCACAGUAAGAGCUUGCUCUUACGGGUGGCGAGUGGCGGACGGGUGAGGAAUACAUCGGAAUCUACUUUUUCGUGGGGGAUAACGUAGGGAAACUUACGCUAAUACCGCAUACGACCUACGGGUGAAAGCAGGGGAUCUUCGGACCUUGCGCGAUUGAAUGAGCCGAUGUCGGCUUAGCUAGUUGGCGGGGUAAAGGCCCACCAAGGCGACGAUCCGUAGCUGGUCUGAGAGGAUGAUCAGCCACACUGGAACUGAGACACGGUCCAGACUCCUACGGGAGGCAGCAGUGGGGAAUAUUGGACAAUGGGCGCAAGCCUGAUCCAGCCAUACCGCGUGGGUGAAGAAGGCCUUCGGGUUGUAAAGCCCUUUUGUUGGGAAAGAAAAGCAGCAGGUUAAUACCCCGCUGUUCCGACGGUACCCAAAGAAUAAGCACCGGCUAACUUCGUG